AAGCAAAGGAGAGGGAAGCUGGAAGCACCUUUGGCCCGGGACAGAAAUCUGGAGAGCUUGGCUACCUCCAUCCUCCUCAGGCCGGAGCAGGCUUCCUGAGAGAGUCCAGGUCGUAGGAGUUUUACGACUUAGAAAAGCGGGCUGCAGAUUCCUUCCUGGGUGUUUGGUUCAAGCCUUGGCUCCAGCCUCACUCUCAGUCUUCCCGGGAGUUCGUGGGAUUUGGACCUUAGAUUAUUAGUAUUAUUUUGAGGGCCUCCUGUGUGUAAGCACUGGUUGUGCGCAGAUGGCUGUGCAGAGGGCCAUGAGGUAGAGGCUGGGGAAAUGAGGGCUUGGAGGUGCUUGAGGUAUGGUCUUUACCUACGUGAAAUGUUGGAGGUAAGCCUAUGUUUUCUUGGAUGUGAAACUAGGGCACUGGGUUGCUCUUAGGUA
Molecule: long non-coding RNA, 429 nt
Filed under: Homo sapiens (human)
Lineage: Eukaryota; Metazoa; Chordata; Mammalia; Primates; Hominidae
Description: non-protein coding LINC02001:15
Source: RNAcentral